GUGCCAGCCGCCGCGGUAAUACGAAGGGGGCGAGCGUUGUUCGGAAUUACUGGGCGUAAAGGGCGCGCAGGCGGCUCUGAAAGUCAGAUGUGAAAGCCCCGGGCUUAACCUGGGAAUUGCAUUUGAUACUCUGGAGCUUGAGUGUGGGAGAGGAGAGUGGAAUUCCCAGUGUAGAGGUGAAAUUCGUAGAUAUUGGGAAGAACACCGGUGGCGAAGGCGGCUCUCUGGACCACAACUGACGCUGAGGCGCGAAAGCGUGGGGAGCAAACAGGAUUAGAUACCCGAGUAGUCC
RNAcentral lists this ribosomal RNA (292 nucleotides) under uncultured bacterium. Its description in RNAcentral is "partial 16S ribosomal RNA". It matches the Rfam family "Bacterial small subunit ribosomal RNA", at positions 505 to 796 of the family's 1533-position model. The record is from RNAcentral.